This 468-nucleotide ribosomal RNA is filed under the name uncultured bacterium. RNAcentral describes it as "partial 16S ribosomal RNA". It matches the Rfam family "Bacterial small subunit ribosomal RNA", at positions 28 to 507 of the family's 1533-position model. The record is from RNAcentral.
GACGAACGCUGGCGGCGUGCUUAACACAUGCGAGUCGAACGGAAAGGCCCAGCUUUUGUGGGGUGCUCGAGUGGCGAACGGGUGAGUAACACGUGAGUAACCUGCCCUUGACUUUGGGAGAACUUCAGGAAAUUGGGGCGAAUACCGGAUAGGAGCUCCUGCUGCAUGGGGGGGGUUGGAAAGUUUCGGCGGUUGGGGAUGGACUCGCGGCUUAUCAGCUUGUUGGUGGGGUAGUGGCUUACCAAGGCUUUGACGGGUAGCCGGCCUGAGAGGGUGACCGGCCACAUUGGGACUGAGAUACGGCCCAGACUCCUACGGGGGGCAGCAGUGGGAAAUUUUGCACAAUGGGCAGAAGCCUGAUGCAGCGACGCCGCGUGCGGGAUGACGGCCUUCGGGGUGUCAACCGCUUUCGCCUGUGACGACGCCUGAGUGACGGUAAUGAGUCAAGAAGCACCGGCUAGCUCCGUG